RNAcentral lists this long non-coding RNA (366 nucleotides) under Anas platyrhynchos (mallard). Its description in RNAcentral is "lncRNA (ENSAPLG00020001191.1)". The record is from RNAcentral. Lineage: Eukaryota; Metazoa; Chordata; Aves; Anseriformes; Anatidae.
CUUGAGUUUGGGCCGUGAAGCGUGGUUGAAUUGCUCGCAGAGAAGGGGAGCACCAGCAUGCGUCCUGUUGUGGCAGGAAAACAAAACUCUCUCUCGUGUCUCCAUGUUAACACGACUGGAAAUUGAACGUAGGGGGAUCUAGCAUGUGAUUACUCUUUUUAGACAGGAUUUUCUUCAUAGCUGAAUUGGACCGAGUCCUUUUUCUCCCAAACCAGAUGGCCCUUCGUUUCUUGCAAUAUUUUGCCCUUGGAACAGGGACAGUUUGGAUCCUAGAACAUAAAAGAAGAUUGCAAGCAAUCAUGUUUCUGUAGCGUAACACUUUGUCACUCCUCAACUAAGCUUUAGGAACCAGCUGUAGGGACUCUG